This 465-nucleotide ribosomal RNA is filed under the name Vreelandella stevensii. RNAcentral's name for it is "partial 16S ribosomal RNA". It matches the Rfam family "Bacterial small subunit ribosomal RNA", at positions 338 to 795 of the family's 1533-position model. The record is from RNAcentral. Lineage: Bacteria; Pseudomonadati; Pseudomonadota; Gammaproteobacteria; Oceanospirillales; Halomonadaceae.
CCUACGGGUGGCUGCAGUGGGGAAUAUUGGACAAUGGGGGCAACCCUGAUCCAGCCAUGCCGCGUGUGUGAAGAAGGCCCUCGGGUUGUAAAGCACUUUCAGUGAGGAAGAACGCCUGGUGGUUAAUACCCAUCAGGAAAGACAUCACUCACAGAAGAAGCACCGGCUAACUCCGUGCCAGCAGCCGCGGUAAUACGGAGGGUGCGAGCGUUAAUCGGAAUUACUGGGCGUAAAGCGCGCGUAGGUGGCUUGAUAAGCCGGUUGUGAAAGCCCCGGGCUCAACCUGGGAACGGCAUCCGGAACUGUCAAGCUAGAGUGCAGGAGAGGAAGGUAGAAUUCCCGGUGUAGCGGUGAAAUGCGUAGAGAUCGGGAGGAAUACCAGUGGCGAAGGCGGCAUUCUGGACUGACACUGACACUGAGGUGCGAAAGCGUGGGUAGCGAACCGGAUUAGAUACCCGAGUAGUC